GACGAACGCUGGCGGCGUGCUUAACACAUGCAAGUCGAACGGAAAGGCCCUGCUUUUGUGGGGUGCUCGAGUGGCGAACGGGUGAGUAACACGUGAGUAACCUGCCCUUGACUUUGGGAUAACUUCAGGAAACUGGGGCUAAUACCGGAUAGGAGCUCCUGCUGCAUGGUGGGGGUUGGAAAGUUUCGGCGGUUGGGGAUGGACUCGCGGCUUAUCAGCUUGUUGGUGGGGUAGUGGCUUACCAAGGCUUUGACGGGUAGCCGGCCUGAGAGGGUGACCGGCCACAUUGGAACUGAGAUGCGGCCCGGACUCCUACGGGAGGCAGCAGUGGGGAAUAGUGCACAAUGGGCGGAAGCCUGAUGCAGCAACGCCGCGUGGGGGAUGACGGCCUUCGGGUUGUAAACCGCUUUCGCCUGUGACGAAGCGUGAGUGACGGUAAUGGGUAAAGAAGCACCGGCUAACUACGUG
RNAcentral lists this ribosomal RNA (468 nucleotides) under uncultured bacterium. Its description in RNAcentral is "partial 16S ribosomal RNA". It matches the Rfam family "Bacterial small subunit ribosomal RNA", at positions 28 to 507 of the family's 1533-position model. The record is from RNAcentral.